Molecule: ribosomal RNA, 518 nt
Filed under: uncultured bacterium
Lineage: Bacteria
Description: bacterial SSU rRNA
Rfam family: Bacterial small subunit ribosomal RNA
Source: RNAcentral
AGAAUUUAGCAGAGAUGCUUUCGUGCCUUCGGGAACUCUGAGACAGGUGCUGCAUGGCUGUCGUCAGCUCGUGUUGUGAAAUGUUGGGUUAAGUCCCGCAACGAGCGCAACCCUUAUCCUUUGUUGCCAGCACGUAAUGGUGGGAACUCAAAGGAGACUGCCGGUGAUAAACCGGAGGAAGGUGGGGAUGACGUCAAGUCAUCAUGGCCCUUACGAGUAGGGCUACACACGUGCUACAAUGGCGCAUACAAAGAGAAGCGACCUCGCGAGAGCAAGCGGACCUCAUAAAGUGCGUCGUAGUCCGGAUUGGAGUCUGCAACUCGACUCCAUGAAGUCGGAAUCGCUAGUAAUCGUAAAUCAGAAUGUUACGGUGAAUACGUUCCCGGGCCUUGUACACACCGCCCGUCACACCAUGGGAGUGGGCUGCAAAAGAAGUAGAUAGCUUAACCUUCGGGAGGGCGUUUACCACUUUGUGAUUCAUGACUGAGGUGAAGUCGUAACAAGGUAGGCGUAGUGCU